AACGAACGCUGGCGGCAUGCCUAACACAUGCAAGUCGAACGAGACCUUCGGGUCUAGUGGCGCACGGGUGCGUAACGCGUGGGAACCUGCCCUUAGGUUCGGAAUAACUCCCCGAAAGGGGUGCUAAUACCGGAUAAUGUCUUCGGACCAAAGAUUAUCGCCUUUGGAUGGGCCCGCGUUGGAUUAGCUAGUUGGUAGGGUAAAAGCCUACCAAGGCGACGAUCCAUAGCUGGUCUGAGAGGAGGAUCAGCCACACUGGGACUGAGACACGGCCCAGACUCCUACGGGAGGCAGCAGUGGGGAAUAUUGGACAAUGGGCGAAAGCCUGAUCCAGCAAUGCCGCGUGAGUGAUGAAGGCCUUAGGGUUGUAAAGCUCUUUUACCCGGGAGGAUAAUGACAGUACCGGGAGAAUAAGCUCCGGCUAACUCCGUG
Molecule: ribosomal RNA, 432 nt
Filed under: uncultured bacterium
Lineage: Bacteria
Description: partial 16S ribosomal RNA
Rfam family: Bacterial small subunit ribosomal RNA
Source: RNAcentral